RNAcentral lists this ribosomal RNA (460 nucleotides) under uncultured bacterium. RNAcentral's name for it is "partial 16S ribosomal RNA". It matches the Rfam family "Bacterial small subunit ribosomal RNA", at positions 338 to 795 of the family's 1533-position model. The record is from RNAcentral.
CCUACGGGGGGCAGCAGUGAGGAAUAUUGGUCAAUGGGCGAGAGCCUGAACCAGCCAAGUCGCGUGAAGGAUGACGGCCCUACGGGUUGUAAACUUCUUUUGUCAGGGAGCAAUUGGGUCCACGCGUGGGCUUCGUGAGAGUACCUGAAGAAAAAGCAUCGGCUAACUCCGUGCCAGCAGCCGCGGUAAUACGGAGGAUGCGAGCGUUAUCCGGAUUUAUUGGGUUUAAAGGGUGCGUAGGCGGAAUAUCAAGUCAGCGGUAAAAAUUCGGGGCUCAACCCCGUCGUGCCGUUGAAACUGAUGUUCUGGAGUGGGCGAGAAGGAUGCGGAAUGCGUGGUGUAGCGGUGAAAUGCAUAGAUAUCACGCAGAACUCCGAUUGCGAGGGCAGCAUACCGGCGCCCAACUGACGCUGAAGCACGAAAGCGUGGGUAUCGAACAGGAUUAGAUACCCGGGUAGUC